RNAcentral lists this ribosomal RNA (208 nucleotides) under uncultured bacterium. RNAcentral's name for it is "partial 16S ribosomal RNA". It matches the Rfam family "Bacterial small subunit ribosomal RNA", at positions 568 to 774 of the family's 1533-position model. The record is from RNAcentral.
UGUGUAGGCGGUUGACUAAGUUGGAAGUGUAAUACCCAGGGCUUAACCCGGGUGCUGCUUCCAAAACUGGCCGACUUGAGUGCAGUAGAGGAAAGUGGAAUUCCUAGUGUAGCGGUGGAAUGCGUAGAUAUUAGGAGGAACACCAGUGGCGAAGGCGGCUUUCUGGACUGUAACUGACGCUGAGGCACGAAAGCGUGGGGAGCAAACA